This 464-nucleotide ribosomal RNA is filed under the name uncultured Rhodocyclaceae bacterium. RNAcentral describes it as "partial 16S ribosomal RNA". It matches the Rfam family "Bacterial small subunit ribosomal RNA", at positions 338 to 794 of the family's 1533-position model. The record is from RNAcentral. Lineage: Bacteria; Pseudomonadati; Pseudomonadota; Betaproteobacteria; Rhodocyclales; Rhodocyclaceae.
CCUACGGGAGGCAGCAGUGGGGAAUUUUGGACAAUGGGGGAAACCCUGAUCCAGCCAUUCCGCGUGAGUGAAGAAGGCCUUCGGGUUGUAAAGCUCUUUCGGCAGGAACGAAACGGCGGACUCUAACAUAGUCUGUCAAUGACGGUACCUGAAGAAGAAGCACCGGCUAACUACGUGCCAGCAGCCGCGGUAAUACGUAGGGUGCGAGCGUUAAUCGGAAUUACUGGGCGUAAAGCGUGCGCAGGCGGCUUUGUAAGACGGAGGUGAAAUCCCUGGGCUUAACCUAGGAACUGCGUUCGUGACUGCAAAGCUAGAGUGCGGCAGAGGGGGGUGGAAUUCCUGGUGUAGCAGUGAAAUGCGUAGAGAUCAGGAGGAACACCGAUGGCGAAAGCGGUCUCCUGGCCCAAUACUGACGCUGAGAUGCGAAAGCUAGGGGAGCAAACAGGAUUAGAUCCCCUUGUAGU